AAGGGAGAAGUCGUAACAAGGUUUCCGUAGGUGAACCUGCGGAAGGAUCAUUGUCGAAACCUGCCCAGCAGAACGACCAGCGAACGUGUUUACACCAUUCAUUGGGAGGGGUGCUGGCUCGCCCAGUCCCUCCCUUAUGUCAGGGGGCAGUCCUCUAGGGAUUGGUGCCUGGCACAACAACGAACCCCGGCGUGUUAUGCGCCAAGGAACAUAAACGCGAUCUUGCCUGUGCUUUGCCCGGGUCUCCGGCGCAUGUACGUGGCACCCAAUCUAAGUCAUAGAAGGACUCUCGGCAACGGAUAUCUCGGCUCUCGCAUCGAUGAAGAACGUAGCGAAAUGCGAUACUUGGUGUGAAUUGCAGAAUCCCGUGAACCAUCGAGUUUUUGAACGCAAGUUGCGCCCGAAGCCUUUUGGCCAGGGCACGUCUGCCUGGGCGUCACGCAUGGCGUCUCCUCCACCCGACCAAGCUUGGGGAGGGAGAGGAAGAUGGCUUCCCAUGCCUCGCGGGGCAUGGAUGGCCUAAAUAAGGAGCCCUCGGUUACUAGAUGCCGCGGCGAUUGGUGGUACACAAGGCCUUUGCCUAUGAAGCAUCGCGUCGUGCUACGAGCAGCCUAUGUGGACUCGCAGGACCCUUACAAACCUUUGCGACCCCAGGUCAGGCGGGGGUUACCCCGCUGGAAAUUUUAA
This 687-nucleotide ribosomal RNA is filed under the name Pedersenia cardenasii. RNAcentral describes it as "eukaryotic LSU rRNA". The stretch from base 285 to 439 matches the Rfam family "5.8S ribosomal RNA". Lineage: Eukaryota; Viridiplantae; Streptophyta; Magnoliopsida; Caryophyllales; Amaranthaceae. The record is from RNAcentral.